AAAUUCCAGACAGGGCCAGCGUCGGGAGCACGUAGGAGGCGCCCCUCGGAAAGGAGCCGCAGACCCGGCUGACUUCGCACUUGAGCUCCAGCCCCGUGGACAUUUCCUGUUCUGCCUCUGGAAAUUCAAGCUGAAAGUUACAAAACAUCCUUUUCCCUGGAACCAAGUGCUUGGUUGGGAGACCAUGCCCUCCCCUUCCUUCCUCGGAACUCCUCCCUGAUCGCCCCGUGGCUUCCCCAGGAGAGAUGCGAAAUCAGCGGUAGCAGGUGGCGCAGAAGGGAGAGGGGAGCGACCCUGGGGACCGACUCUGGGGACCCCCGCCGAAGAGAAAAUAACUCUAAAAUCUGGACAUGAUACACAAAGUGACUGCCUAAAGGAGCUGAAGAGAGGACAUAAGUGGAUCGCCUCUGCUGUUGCAUGUUGGCUUGGAGAACAGAAGAUGAGGAGCCAAAUAAGCAAGUCCUUCAGCCCCAGGCUUCUAGCACGGGGCUGCAUGUAGGCUAUGCAUUCUGGGGAGUGAGGAGAUCAUGAAUGCUGAAAAUAAAUGAAGGAAUCCAGAAAAGCAAGAGUCAAAGAAGGCAUCUGCAGGCCAAAUCUCUGAUCAACCCCUGACCCACAUACACACAAAAUACACU
Molecule: small RNA, 635 nt
Filed under: Pan troglodytes (chimpanzee)
Lineage: Eukaryota; Metazoa; Chordata; Mammalia; Primates; Hominidae
Description: processed transcript
Source: RNAcentral